This 1384-nucleotide ribosomal RNA is filed under the name Nostoc sp. 159. RNAcentral's name for it is "bacterial SSU rRNA". It matches the Rfam family "Bacterial small subunit ribosomal RNA". Lineage: Bacteria; Bacillati; Cyanobacteriota; Cyanophyceae; Nostocales; Nostocaceae. The record is from RNAcentral.
AUGAACGCUGGCGGUAUGCUUAACACAUGCAAGUCGAACGGUGUCUUCGGACACAGUGGCGGACGGGUGAGUAACGCGUGAGAAUCUGGCUUUAGGUCUGGGACAACCACUGGAAACGGUGGCUAAUACCGGAUGUGCCGAGAGGUGAAAGGUUAACUGCCUGAAGAUGAGCUCGCGUCUGAUUAACUAGUAGGUAGUGUAAUGGACUACCUAGGCGACGAUCAGUAGCUGGUCUGAGAGGACGAUCAGCCACACUGGGACUGAGACACGGCCCAGACUCCUACGGGAGGCAGCAGUGGGGAAUUUUCCGCAAUGGGCGAAAGCCUGACGGAGCAAUACCGCGUGAGGGAGGAAGGCUCUUGGGUCGUAAACCUCUUUUCUCAGGGAAGAACACAAUGACGGUACCUGAGGAAUAAGCAUCGGCUAACUCCGUGCCGGCAGCCGCGGUAAUACGGAGGAUGCAAGCGUUAUCCGGAAUGAUUGGGCGUAAAGCGUCCGCAGGUGGCUAUGUAAGUCUGCUGUUAAAGAGUCUAGCUCAACUAGAUAAGAGCAGUGGAAACUACAUGGCUAGAGUGCGUUCGGGGCAGAGGGAAUUCCUGGUGUAGCGGUGAAAUGCGUAGAGAUCAGGAAGAACACCGGUGGCGAAGGCGCUCUGCUAGGCCGCAACUGACACUGAGGGACGAAAGCUAGGGGAGCGAAUGGGAUUAGAUACCCCAGUAGUCCUAGCCGUAAACGAUGGAUACUAGGCGUGGCUUGUAUCGACCCGAGCCGUGCCGUAGCUAACGCGUUAAGUAUCCCGCCUGGGGAGUACGCCGGCAACGGUGAAACUCAAAGGAAUUGACGGGGGCCCGCACAAGCGGUGGAGUAUGUGGUUUAAUUCGAUGCAACGCGAAGAACCUUACCAAGGCUUGACAUGUCGCGAAUCUUCUUGAAAGGGAAGAGUGCCUUCGGGAGCGCGAACACAGGUGGUGCAUGGCUGUCGUCAGCUCGUGUCGUGAGAUGUUGGGUUAAGUCCCGCAACGAGCGCAACCCUCGUUUCUAGUUGCCAGCAUUAAGUUGGGCACUCUAGAGAGACUGCCGGUGACAAACCGGAGGAAGGUGGGGAUGACGUCAAGUCAGCAUGCCCCUUACGCCUUGGGCUACACACGUACUACAAUGCUCCGGACAGAGGGCAGCAAGCAUGCGAAUGCAAGCAAAUCCCGUAAACCGGAGCUCAGUUCAGAUCGCAGGCUGCAACUCGCCUGCGUGAAGGAGGAAUCGCUAGUAAUUGCAGGUCAGCAUACUGCAGUGAAUUCGUUCCCGGGCCUUGUACACACCGCCCGUCACACCAUGGAAGCUGGUAGUGCCCGAAGUCAUUACUCCAACCUUUCGGGGGGGAGGAUGC